GACGAACGCUGGCGGCGUGCUUAACACAUGCAAGUCGAGCGGUAAGGCCCUUUCGGGGGUACGACGAGCGGCGAACGGGUGAGUAACACGUGGGUGACCUGCCCUCAGCUCUGGGAUAAGCCUGGGAAACCGGGUCUAAUACCGGAUAUGACUCCAUGACGCAUGUUGUGGGGUGGAAAGCCUUGUGCGGCUGAGGAUGGGCCCGC
RNAcentral lists this ribosomal RNA (206 nucleotides) under uncultured bacterium. RNAcentral's name for it is "partial 16S ribosomal RNA". It matches the Rfam family "Bacterial small subunit ribosomal RNA", at positions 28 to 234 of the family's 1533-position model. The record is from RNAcentral.